Long non-coding RNA from Prosopis cineraria, 1997 nucleotides. RefSeq lists it as uncharacterized. The record is from RefSeq and is a predicted model, not a curated record. The transcript is spliced from 3 exons. Lineage: Eukaryota; Viridiplantae; Streptophyta; Magnoliopsida; Fabales; Fabaceae.
UUAUGUUCGGGUAAAGUGGUGGGGGCCUGAUAGGCGCAUGUUGGAUUGUUGCUGUUGAUGCUGUUUCUAUGUCAUUGAUGGUUGGUCGUGAAUUUGAUGCUGGUUGCAAGAGAGUAUGCUGGUUUUAGGAGUAUGAUUAUUUUACCGAUAUGCUGGUUUCACGAGCAAUUAGUUGACUUGAUUUAUACCCCAAAUGAUGACAUGAUUGGAUUCUUCUUGCUGUGAUGGACACGAGUUGAACCUGUAAUGAGAUGUAGCGGAUGCCUCAUAGGAGAUGGACCCAGUAUUCAUUAAUUCAGACGCAGAUACUAAACAAUAAGUUGUGGGUACUGAAUAGUAAACCUAAUAUGCUGUGGUGUGGUAUUUCCAAUGUGAGAUACGCUCGUUGUAGCAGAGAUGGUGGCUGAUGCAUCAUUUGUAUGAUAUGCAUGUGUUCGUGAGUAAUUUGAAGAAUUAACAAAUAACUGCAUGCAGCUGGCUGUUGCUGCCCUUUUGGCCGGGGUCGGGGUUGGCAAUGAUAUUAGCAGUUGGUUCUGAUGAUGGCUGUCCAGCUGGUUUCUGUUGAUUGCAGAGCCUCCUGAAAUAAAUCUUUUACGUUGAACUGGUGAUUGGUUUUGUAGGCUUUUCUCAAUCCUUUUUUCUUGGAUUAUGGCUCUGGCAUGUUUAUUUUCUCUGUGGUCCUCUUUUGCAUAGUCCUUGUUUCUGACCACGAUCAUUACGUUGUGGGAUGAUAAUGACCUGCAACUGGAGGCUACAAAUAAUGGUUUUCUUGGGUAUUUGAUCAUUCAUUUAUAAAUAUACCUGUAGAGGCAUAAGCAAAACGUCAGGUAGAAAUACAUUUUGACUUCUUGAUUGCGGAUUAGCUGGAUCUUUGUUUUAUUGGGAUAAAUGAGAAAGUAGAUGCAAAAUGAUUUUCAUAUCUGUUUUUUUCUCCAUCUGAAUUAGUUGAACCAUCAAAUUUUGUAUUGUAUAUGCCCAUCUAUGUUCAAUAUUUUUGAAUGAAUGCACGUGAUUCUCUAGACUUCUUUCCUACUUAUUUGUCGGAUUUUUGUUAUGUUUUUAGAAAAAGAAUUUAAUUGUUUGUAUUUUAUGCUGGAUAGGCUUGGUUGCAUGAAUUGAUUUUGUUGCAUUUUUAGCCUAGUUGCUUUCUUGUGAUUUGUUGAUAUUCUCAAGAUUUGGAUGAUAGAAGCUAUUAAUAAUCACUAAUUGCUUGUUAAUAGAAAUUUUCUAUUCCUUAAUUUGAGAAACGUGUGCCUUAUCUGGUAACUAGAACGUGUCCAUGCACCAGUUUUGUACCAGUCAUGGCCGGUGACUAAGUUUCCCUGCACAUACCCCUUAUUGAACCCAUUUUAAUAUUUCAGUCAUGGAUUUCAAGGUCCUUUUUCAAUAUCAUAUUCUCUGCACCCUUUUUAGCGCAUCAUGGUUUAAAUAAAUACAUAAGGGAGAUUAUCUGCAUUUGAGUGCAACAGAUUAGGGGCUUUGCAGGCUGUUAAGGAUGCUGCGAAAUCUGUAUUUUGUGUGCUAAAACUAUGAUCAUGAUUGUGAUUAUUUAUAUUACCAAGUAUUCUGGUGUUUUUCUCUUCAAGUAGUUGGGAGAGGAUUUGGACUAAGAUUUGAGGUGGAAAGGGUAUUGAUGUAGUCCAGUUCUGGGUAUGAUCUAUAUUUGGAUAACUCCUGCAUGAGGCUAAGCAAAGAAAACCGACAUGCCAAACAGAACAGAUCAAUGUUACUCGCAAACAUGAGUGAGUCCCAGCACACAAGACUAAAUUUGCUCCGUCCCGACAUCACAGCUUCAAGAACAUGCCCCUAUCCAACAUUUCUGCUAAACCCAAAUCCGGUGACCGCACUAUCUCCAGCCCUCCAGUACCUUCUGUGCACUGUUUUUCUUCUAAUUUGAAAAUUGUUGAGCAUAAUGUAUGUUUAUGUCAUCUUUUUAACUCUGUUGAUUUCUGCGAAGAAAACUGAUCCAUGAGAUGGGCAAAACGUUUCCUGGUUAA